GACGAACGCUGGCGGCGUGCUUAACACAUGCAAGUCGAGCGGAGCGGCAAACGGGUGAGUAACGCGAGAGUCACUGCCCCCCUCUCUGGGAUAACAGUUGGAAACGGCAGCUAAUACCGGCUAGUGGGGGAUGACUCGCGUCCUAUCAGCUUGUUGGUGGGGUAGUGGCCAACCAAGGGGACGACGGGUAGCCGGCCUUAGAGGGCGACCGGCAACAUGGGACUGCGAUACGGCCCAAACUCCUACGGGAGGCAGGAGUGGGGAAUAUUGCACAAUCGGGGAAACCCUGAUGCAGCAACGCCGCGUGCGGGAUGACGGCCUUCGGGUUGUAAACCGCGUUCAGCCAUGACGCGGUAGUGGCAGAAGAAGCACCGGCGAACUACGUGCCAGCAGCCGCGGUAAUUC
This 405-nucleotide ribosomal RNA is filed under the name uncultured bacterium. RNAcentral describes it as "partial 16S ribosomal RNA". It matches the Rfam family "Bacterial small subunit ribosomal RNA", at positions 28 to 526 of the family's 1533-position model. The record is from RNAcentral.